Gavialis gangeticus (Gharial) is the source of this 144-nucleotide long non-coding RNA. RefSeq lists it as uncharacterized. The transcript is spliced from 3 exons. NCBI's taxonomy places the organism in Eukaryota, Metazoa, Chordata, Crocodylia, Gavialidae. The record is from RefSeq and is a predicted model, not a curated record.
CAUGACUUGGCCUUGGUGGAUCCAUGCUGACUGUUCCUGAUCACUUUCUUCUCCUCCAAGUGAUUAUAAAUGGAUUCCAUGAGGACCUGGUCCAUGAUUUUUCCAGGGACUGAGGUGAGACUGACUGCUAGCAGGCUAACUGCU